RNAcentral lists this ribosomal RNA (254 nucleotides) under uncultured bacterium. RNAcentral's name for it is "partial 16S ribosomal RNA". It matches the Rfam family "Bacterial small subunit ribosomal RNA", at positions 524 to 776 of the family's 1533-position model. The record is from RNAcentral.
UACGUAGGGUGCGAGCGUUAAUCGGAAUUACUGGGCGUAAAGCGUGCGCAGGCGGUCUGUUAGGACCGAUGUGAAAUCCCCGGGCUUAACCUGGGAACUGCAUUGGUGACUGGCAGGCUUUGAGUGUGGCAGAGGGGGGUAGAAUUCCACGUGUAGCAGUGAAAUGCGUAGAGAUGUGGAGGAAUACCGAUGGCGAAGGCAGCCCCCUGGGCCAACACUGACGCUCAUGCACGAAAGCGUGGGGAGCAAACAGG